UUGCAAAGAAGGGAUUUAAACACCUUUGAACAUCUUAUGCUCAGGUUUCCCUGAGGUGGCUUUCUUCCUCCUGGAAGCAAUGAGUUGGAAUUCGGGAAAUCAUGUUGGUUUAAGCUAAAAGGCCAAACAUCCAUCCUGGAAACAUUCAAUGGUUGUCAAGAGACAAUUACAUAUGGAGAGAGACAAGAAUAGACCGGAUGAUGAGUCUGGGCUCUAGGGCCAAAGUAAACUGGAGAGAUGCCAGCUGUCCAAAGAGUCUGUCCUGAAUAACCCACUGAGUCAUUAAAAGAUGGUGAACCUGGGACAACAGCACAGGGAUAUGGAUGGGUAUCACUCCCAAGAGCACUUGAUAAAAG
Non-coding RNA from Phascolarctos cinereus (koala), 356 nucleotides. NCBI's taxonomy places the organism in Eukaryota, Metazoa, Chordata, Mammalia, Diprotodontia, Phascolarctidae. The record is from RefSeq and is a predicted model, not a curated record.